RNAcentral lists this ribosomal RNA (496 nucleotides) under uncultured bacterium. RNAcentral describes it as "partial 16S ribosomal RNA". It matches the Rfam family "Bacterial small subunit ribosomal RNA", at positions 33 to 507 of the family's 1533-position model. The record is from RNAcentral.
AUUCACGCUGGCGGCGUGCCUCAUCCCUGCAAGUCGCGCGCACAGACGAGGAGCUUGCUCCUCUGACGUUAGCGGCGGACGGGUGAGUAACACGUGGAUAACCUACCUAUAAGACUGGGAUAACUUCGGGAAACCGGAGCUAAUACCGGAUAACAUGUUGAACCGCAUGGUUUAACAGUGAAAGACGGUCUUGCUGUCACUUAUAGAUGGAUCCGCGCCGCAUUAGCUAGUUGGUAAGGUAACGGCUUACCAAGGCAACGAUGCGUAGCCGACCUGAGAGGGUGAUCGGCCACACUGGAACUGAGACACGGUCCAGACUCCUACGGGAGGCAGCAGUAGGGAAUCUUCCGCAAUGGGCGAAAGCCUGACGGAGCAACGCCGCGUGAGUGAAGAAGGUCUUCGGAUCGUAAAACUCUGUUAUUAGGGAAGAACAAAUGUGUAAGUAACUAUGCACGUCUUGACGGUACCUAAUCAGAAAGCCACGGCUAACUACGUG